ACUCCUACGGGAGGCAGCAGUGGGGAAUAUUGGAAUGGGCGCAAGCCUGAUCCAGCCAUGCCGCGUGAGUGAUGAAGGCCCUAGGGUUGUAAAGCUCUUUCACCGGUGAAGAUAAUGACGGUAACCGGAGAAGAAGCCCCGGCUAACUUCGUGCCAGCAGCCGCGGUAAU
This 170-nucleotide ribosomal RNA is filed under the name uncultured bacterium. RNAcentral describes it as "partial 16S ribosomal RNA". It matches the Rfam family "Bacterial small subunit ribosomal RNA", at positions 335 to 524 of the family's 1533-position model. The record is from RNAcentral.